Globicephala melas (long-finned pilot whale) is the source of this 5151-nucleotide non-coding RNA. The record is from RefSeq and is a predicted model, not a curated record. NCBI's taxonomy places the organism in Eukaryota, Metazoa, Chordata, Mammalia, Artiodactyla, Delphinidae.
UGCAUCGGCAGGCAGACUCUCAACCACUGCGCCACCAGAGAAACCCCUUAGCUUUAUUUUUAAAAUGUCAUGAGUAUAAAAAGAAUAUCCAUUUACAUAAAGUUCAAAAUUACCUGCGGUGUUAGAAGUCAGGAUAGUGGUUGGCAUUGGAGAGAAGGGUGGGAUAUUGAUCAGGAGACCCCCGGGGGAUAUGGGGGCCUGGUCCUUUGUGGUUUUUGAUUUUAUGGUGAUCACACAGGUGUACUCACUCUGUGGGCAUUCAUCAAACCAUACAGGUGUGAAUUGUGCGCUCCUCUAUAUGUGAAUAGUAAACAGAAACCAAUUUGCAAUGAUCAGAAAGCCCUUUAUAAAAGUCUCUUCUUUUCUUUUCUCCCUGAGCAGAGAGAACAGAAGAGCAUAUAAUUUAAUUCAUUCAGCAAACUGGUUUUGUGAGAAGCUUUUAGGUACAAAGCAUUGUACUCUGUAGAGUACAGGGCAUUAGGGCUCUGGAGACAAAGAUGAAGCAGACACAGCCCCUGCCCACAAAGAACUUACAGAUCAGUGAAGGAUGAACAUGUAUCAGAUAUCACUGUAUACCAGGGGAAAAUGUCCUGGGGUACUAAGAGGGGUCAGGCAGCUGGUUUUCAUGAAAAGCCAUUUGAAUAGCAUUUCAUAUAUUCAAGAAUCAUACGUAAUCUUCGUGAAUUUAUAGUUAGUGAAUGACGUUGUUUUACUACUCAUACAAUGAAGAGCUUCUUAGAUUCUAUUUUUGUCUCAUUUUGUGACAAGAUCAUGAAGAAAUUUAUACAUACAUAAUAAGAGAUAUGUGAUUGUUGUUACUGAAGAUAUUAAAAUAAUAUAUACUUUAUAACAUUUUUUCAAAGAUCUAACUUGAAAAUAUUUCCAACAGGGGAAUGCCUGGGGAAUUCAUUAUAAGGCAACUUUUGAAUAUAUAGAUGAAAUUUUUAAAUGAAAAUCAAUCCAAAAGCUAAUGAACAGGUAAGCAAACUGUGGUAUAUCCAUACAACUGGAUGUUAUUCAGCCACAAAAGGGAAUGAAGUAGUAACACAUGCUACAACGUGGAUGAACCUUGGAAACAUUGUGCUAAAGGUAAGAAGAUACAAAAGAGCACAUCUUGUAUAAUUCCAUUUAUAUUAAAUAUGAAGAAUAGUCAAAUUCAUAGAGACGGAAUGUAGAUUAGUGGUCUCCAGGGGCUGGGGGAAGGGAGGCAUGGUGAGUGACCGCUUAUAGGUACAGGGUAUAUUUGGGGGUCGUGUUUCGGGUGAUGAAAAUGUUCUGGAAUUAGAUAGUGGUAAUGGUUGCUUGACCUUAUGAAUACUAAAACCCACUGAACUGUACACUUUAAAAUGGUGAAUCUCAUGUGAAUUAUAUCUCAAUAAAAUAUAUAGAAGGCAAUUUUCAAACAUACAGAUUGAAAUUCUGAAAUCAUAAAAUUUUUUUCACUGAGAAAUUCUCAGUACCAUUUCAUGAUACAUCUAAUGAAUGAGUACCAAAAAACAUACACGUAAAGAUGAAAAGUUACAAAGAUCAAAAUGGGGGAAUGGGCUUCCAUUUUUGUGAGAAUUAAAUCAGGACCUAAAGCAAACCUUUCACACAGGGCUUCGGAGGGAUCAGGACAUGACCACUUGUGUCUCUACUUCUAAUUCCAAAACAGAAUCGUUCAGGCCUGGGGUACCCACAUCACUGGAUAUUUUAUGAACUCCUGUUUUUCUUAACCUGCUUGACAACAAAAACGCUUUUGCUUACCUCUCUGAUAAGCAGCCCUUUCUCUGAUCCCUGUUGAUAGAAAUUAGACAGUAAUCUGUUCAAAUCAGCGUUUACAGGCAAGAUGAGUUUUCCAGAAGAGAGAAGGAAAGGACUCAAAGCAGCCAAUCAAAGGGCUCUGUGGAGGAAACCCAGGUAGAACCCCAGUAAUAAAUACAUUUAUUGCCUGGACAGUAAAAAGUACUGGAGAGUUUAAAAUAAAUUCAGAGUUAUUUAAACUUAAUUUAUGACCAGGAAAAUAAACCCUCUCUUCCACCAUUAAUGUUUUUUAUCUGGGCCAUCAAAUGUCACACGCUACUGAUUUUGGUUGUAAGGUCACUGGAAACAGCGUAUCAGAGGUGUCAGCACCACAAAUCAAGUGAAAUUCCUUUAAAAAUAAAAAUGUCAAGAGUAAAGUAAUAGGCAAUAGUUACUUCGUGCUAUGAAAGACUUCUAAUAUAUCAAAAGGUUCACCUUUUUUACCUUUAUGGUGUAUCACUUUGAGCGCUAAAUAUACUUCUGCUUAACAGAUAAAGUAAAGAAAACAGGCAUCAGAAUGCCGAUGAUAAUAAGAAUGAUGACAUAUAAUAAAACUAUUUGCAGGCACAGAAACAUUAGAAGGCAGAAGCCUGAAUAUAUCAAAAGACAAACAAUGACCCUGAAUAUAGGGAGAUCUGCUCUCUAGCAUGUCAGUUAUUUUAAGGGGUCACCUUAAAGGUCAACUAAAACAGUGUCUUUGAAAUCAGAAUACAAAUUAUAUUGGGUUUGGGUAAGAAAAAAAUGAACAUCUUAGAGCUAACGUGAUUCUACACAGAGGUCUAAAUCCUGAAGCAAUCCUCUGGUCUUUUAUCUAAGGAUUGAACAAAACAGAAGCAAGUGCCCAUGUGCUGGGAGGAGACGAAAGGUAAAGGAGACUUGGAGCAGACGGAUUCUUCACGAUCCUGAUGUUAAACAACUGACAGGCAGUGGCAUUUGCCAUAAUGCGUCGUUGCUAAAUGCGUGAACUCCUGGCAGGAUGAGGAUACUGAGGCUCAACUCCAAGAGGGAAAUGCUUGAGGACACAGCCAAGAUGAGAGCCUCCACUGUGGUCCCUGGCUCCGGCCAGGCCACUGAUGUGACUGUCACACACAAGCCCCACUUGUGUGAAGCAGCUGUUCCAACUGGGAGGCAGGCUCCCUGGAAUGAUCUCCAGUCCUUGAUUUGAUGUGUAUGUGAUGAUAGCAUUCAAGUUCACUCAAAAGUAAUUGCUGGGACUUCCCUGGUGGCGCAGUGGUUAAGAAUCCUCCUGUUAAUGCAGGGUACAUGGGUUUGAGCCCUGGUCCGGGAAGAUCCCACAUGCAGAGGAGCAACUAAGCCUGUGCCCCACAACUACUGAGCCUGUGCUCUAGAGCCCGCAAGCCACAACUACUGAAGCCCGGGCACCUAUAGCCCAUGCUCCACAACAAGAAAAGACACCUCAAUGAGAAGCCUGCACACCACAAUGAAGAGUACCCCUGGCUCACCACAACUAGAGAAAGCCCGUGUUUAGCAACAAAGACCCAACACACGCAAAAAGGUCUCUUCCUGGCCCAUCGCUUCUGUUUCUUCAGAACCCCACUUCAACACAACCCUCCUAGCCUCAACCCUGCCUUCCCCCUCCAGAUGCAAGUUUACACCUCUCAGCUUUGCUCUGCACUCUCUCCACUUCAGCUCAGCGCCUGAUUCUCCGGAGACAACUUGAUCAGUAUACAAGAAAGUACAAAUACAAAUGCCACAAGAUGCUGUUCUUUUAUUAGCUCAUUGGCCAAAAUUUUUACAAAUGGUAAUAGCCAGUGCUAAAGGGAGAAUGCGAGAUUAGGAAUUCUCACGUAUGUCUGUGGGAGUGUAAAAAUUUUGGAAAUUUAUCUGAUAACAUUUAUGAAAAUUCUUUAAAUGCACAGUCUUUGAGUCAGCAAUCCCACUUUUCAGUAACUCUCUUACAAGCGUGGAAAUCCGUAUAUCCAAGGAUGCUUUUUACAUCAGUGGGGAAUUAUGAAUACAUUAUGGGACAUCCAUCCAAAGAACACUGAUCAGUCCCUGAUAAAUCUGCAUUUCUUGACCUGAAUGUAUUCUAUGCCGCAGACCAGUGUGUAGAGGAUAAGUCCGUAUUAUUGCUAAACAGGCAUACAUUUGGGGGAGGUGAUUUUUAUUUUGUGUAUUUAUUAAUGUUUUUCAUAUAAAGUAAAUUUAAAAUGAAAACAAAAAUAGAUUCUUGAGAGAGGGAAUCUCAUGGGCACAGUUCAUCCUUUUAUAACAGGCAAUGACAAGCCUACGGAUCGGCUGCCCCCGGGUCACGUGAUAACCCCUGGCCCAAUCAGGAGUGGGCAGGAGCGUGAGUUACUAUACGUGGCCGUAGCUGGGCUAUGGUAAGGGCAGCUUCACUUGGAAGGGUUUGUGGGAAUAUAGACAUCAGCUUAGUACUUUCCGCCUCCGCCAAGGACAUAAACUUGGGAAAUGCCUACGUUUCAGGGACAUGUAGAGAGGAGAAGAUUUGAGGAAGGUUAAAAGAGAACUAAAAGAGUGCAAUGCAGAGAGGCAACGGAGCCAGUAGGGGGAGGAAAUUAAAUAAGAGAGAAGAGCAAGCAGUUCAUUGAAUAAACAUUUGCCAAACGACUACAACGUGUGUGCAGCUGUUACUCCAGUGCUGGGGAUGUGGCGUUGAGCAAGGCAGGCAAGAUCCUUACUUUCAGGAGCUUACGAUCUGUCAAGUGAAGGGUAAGGGGGUGAGGGAGGAAUUGACAUUAGUUAGGAGUCAGUUUAGCUGCAAAUGAUGGAAGACCCAACAUAACAAUAGAUUAAGCAAGUUAGAAUCAAACUUCUCUCUCACAUGACACAAGUCCAGAGGGAUGUGACCCAGGGCUCGUAGGGCCACAUCAUGAUGUCAUCAAGGAUCCAGGACUCUGUUAUCUUGGUAGUGUGAUGUCCUUAGCAUGAAGCUUUUACUUCAGAGUCCAAUAUGGCUGUGUAAGUCCUAGCAAUUGCGCCCACAUCCCAGACAAUGAGAAGAAGAGAAAAGGAUAAAAUGAGGGUUCCUCCUCCUUCUUAGGACACUUCUACUUAUAUCUGAUUGGCCAGAACUGAGUUGUGUAGCUACACUUCACUGCCAGGGAGGCUGGGAUAUGCAGUCUUGUUCUGGGGGACCAUGUGCCUCACUGAAAUUUUGGGCUCUGCUACUAGGGAAGAAGGAGAGAAUGGAUAGCAGGGGGUACCCGUCGGUCUCUACCAUAAGAAGGAGUCAGAAAAUAAGCAAACGAAAACAUGACGGAGGAAAAAAUGGUUUGAUGAAUAAAAGCCUAUGUGGGGCUUCCCUGGUGGUGCAGUGGUUGUGAGUCCGCCUGCCGAUGCAGGGGACACGGGUUCGUGCCCCGGUCCGGGAAGAUCCCACAUGCU